Molecule: ribosomal RNA, 253 nt
Filed under: uncultured bacterium
Lineage: Bacteria
Description: partial 16S ribosomal RNA
Rfam family: Bacterial small subunit ribosomal RNA
Source: RNAcentral
UACAGAGGUCCCAAGCGUUGUUCGGAUUCACUGGGCGUAAAGGGUGCGUAGGUGGCGAGGCAAGUCGGAUGUGAAAGCUCGGAGCUCAACUCCGAAAUGGCAUUGGAAACUACCUUGCUCGAGGGUUGGAGGGGGGACUGGAAUACUUGGUGUAGCAGUGAAAUGCGUAGAUAUCAGGAGGAAUACCGAUGGCGAAGGCAGGUCUCUGGGCUGACACUGACGCUCAUGCACGAAAGCGUGGGGAGCAAACAGG